This 32-nucleotide transfer RNA is filed under the name Rhinopoma microphyllum (Greater mouse-tailed bat). Its description in RNAcentral is "partial tRNA-Pro". The record is from RNAcentral. Lineage: Eukaryota; Metazoa; Chordata; Mammalia; Chiroptera; Rhinopomatidae.
CAAGGAAUAGUUUAUUUAGAAUUUCAGCUUUG